GAAAGUAAAUAAGGGCGCAUGGCGGAUGCCUUGGCUCUCGGAGGCGAUGAAGGACGUGAAAAGCUGCGAUAAGCUUUGGGAAGGUGCAAAUGACCUUUGAUCCAGAGAUUUCUGAAUGGGACAACCCAAUAUCUUGAAGAGGGAUUAUCCAACGUUGUUGGAGGCUAACGCAGGGAACUGAAACAUCUUAGUACCUGCAGGAAAAGAAAAUAAACAAUGAUUCCCCCAGUAGUGGCGAGCGAACGGGGAACAGCCCAAACCAUCCAUGUUACGGCAUGGGGGGGGGUGUAGGACUACGCCGUUGCAUGAAGACAUCAGAGAAGAACUUUCUGGAAAGAAAGACCAUAGAGCAUGACAGUUGCGUAUUCGAAUGUUGUCGAAGCAUAGUAGUAUCCUGAGUAGCGCGGAGCACGAGGAAUUCUGCGUGAAUCUGCCGGGACCAUCCGGUAAGGCUAAAUACUCCCGAGAGACCGAUAGCGAACCAGUACCGUGAGGGAAAGGUGAAAAGCACUUCGAACAGAAGAGUGAAAUAGUUCCUGAAACCGUGCGCCUACAAGCGGUCGGAGCUCGUUAAUGAGUGACGGCGUGCCUUUUGCAUAAUGAACCUACGAGUUGCCUUUGCCGGCAAGGUUAAGUGUGACGACACACGUAUCCGAAGCGAAAGCGAGUCUGAACAGGGCGUAUAGUCGGCAGUGGCAGACGCGAAACCAAGUGAUCUACCCUUGGCCAGGUUGAAGGCUGGGUAACACCAGCUGGAGGACCGCACCAAUAAGCGUUGAAAAGCUUCUGGAUGAGCUGAGGGUAGGGGUGAAAGGCUAAUCAAACUUGGAGAUAGCUCGUACUCCCCGAAAUGCAUUUAGGUGCAGCCUUGCGGGUUACUGAUGUGAGGUAGAGCGACUGAUAAGAUGCGAGGGCUUCACCGCCUAUCAAGUCUUGACAAACUCCGAAUGCGCAUCAGUUCUACCGCAGGAGUGAGGGCAUGGGUGCUAAGGUCCGUGCCCGAGAGGAGAAGAAUCCGGACCACCUGCUAAGGUCCCGAAAUGACAGCUAAGUUAAACUAACGAAGUCUGACUGCUAAGACAGCUAGGAUGUUGGCUUGGAAGCAGCCAUUCAUUUAAAGAGUGCGUAACAGCUCACUAGUCGAGGAGUCGGGCGUGGAUAAUAAUCGGGUAUCAAGUUGUCUACCGAAGCAGUGGGAUCAUUAAUAUGAUCGGUAGGGGAGCAUUCCAGUCGGCGUCGAAGGCGUACCGCGAGGUAUUCUGGAGCGUCUGGAAAAGCAAANNNNNNNNNNGAAGUUGUCUACCGAAGCAGUGGGAUCAUUUAUAUGAUCGGUAGGGGAGCAUUCCAGUCAGCGUCGAAGGCGUACCGUGAGGUAUUCUGGAGCGUCUGGAAAAGCAAAUGUAGGUAUAAGUAACGAUAAAGGGGGCGGGAAACCCCCUCGCCGAAAGACUAAGGUUUCCUGAUCAACGCUAAUCGGAUCAGGGUCAGUCGGGUCCUAAGGCUCAGCCGAACGGCGAUGCCGAUGGCAGAAACGGUUAAUAUUCCGUUACUACCUUCAGGAGUGACGUGGAGACGCAGUAGUGACAGUGCCGCCAUCUGACGGAAUAGAUGGUUGAAGGGUGUAGGAGUCGAUCAUGGCAGGCAAAUCCACCAUGAGAUCCGAACCUGACAGUAUGCCGCGUCCUUCGGGACAAGGCAAUAGUGCGCGUAAGCAUGCUGCCGAGAAAAUCCGCUAAACUUAAUCCUGGAGGUACCCGUACCGCAAACGGACACACGUAGUCGGGAUGAAUAUUCUAAGGCGCUUGAGUGAUUCACGGUUAAGGAACUAGGCAAACUGACCCUGUAACUUCGGGAUAAAGGGUCCCUACCCUUUUAUGGGAGGGCGCAGAGAAUCGGUCCAGGCAACUGUUUAACAAAAACACAGGGCUGUGCCAAAUCGAAAGAUCCAGUAUACAGCCUGACACCUGCCCGGUGCUGGAAGGUUAAGAGGAGAUGUCAUCGAUAAGAGAAGCGUUGAAUUGAAGCCCCAGUAAACGGCGGCCGUAACUAUAACGGUCCUAAGGUAGCGAAAUUCCUUGUCGGGUAAGUUCCGACCUGCACGAAUGGUGUAAUGAUCUGGACGCUGUCUCAACCGUGAGCUCAGUGAAAUUGUAGUAUCGGUGAAGAUGCCGAUUACCCGCGAUGGGACGAAAAGACCCCGUGAACCUUUACUAUAGCUUAUCAUUGAAUCUGGGCACGUGAUGUGUAGGAUAGGUCGGAGGCUUUGAAGCAGGUACGCCAGUAUUUGUGGAGCCGCUGUUGAAAUACGACCCUUUAUUUGUUUGGAUUCUAACCCGUGGAACGGGGACAUUGAUUGGUGGGUAGUUUGACUGGGGUGGUCGCCUCCAAAAGCGUAACGGAGGCUUCUAAAGGUGCCCUCCGGCCGAUUGGUAACCGGCCUUAGAGUGUAAUGGCAUAAGGGCGCUUGACUGGGAGACUAACAAGUCGAUCAGGUAGGAAACUAGAGCAUAGUGAUCCGGUGUUUCCGUAUGGAAGGGACAUCGCUCAAAGGAUAAAAGGUACUCCGGGGAUAACAGGCUGAUCCCUCCCAAGAGCUCAUAUCGACGGAGUGGUUUGGCACCUCGAUGUCGGCUCGUCACAUCCUGGGGCUGGAGAAGGUCCCAAGGGUUGGGCUGUUCGCCCAUUAAAGUGGCACGCGAGCUGGGUUCAGAACGUCGUGAGACAGUUCGGUCUCUAUCUAUCGUGGGCGUAUGAAAUUUGCGUGGCUCUGACACUAGUACGAGAGGACCGUGUUGGACAGACCUCUGGUUUGCCGGUUGUGCCGCCAGGUGCAUUGCCGGGUAUCUAAGUCUGGAUCGGAUAAGUGCUGAAAGCAUCUAAGUACGAAGCCGGCCACAAGAUUAGAUUUCUCAGGGUCGUUGUAGACUACGACGUUGAUAGGAUGCAGGUGUAAAGGUAGAGAUACCAAAGCCGAGCAUUACUAAUUGCCCGUCCACUUUCUUUA
This 3004-nucleotide ribosomal RNA is filed under the name Phocaeicola vulgatus. RNAcentral describes it as "bacterial LSU rRNA". It matches the Rfam family "Bacterial large subunit ribosomal RNA". The record is from RNAcentral. Lineage: Bacteria; Pseudomonadati; Bacteroidota; Bacteroidia; Bacteroidales; Bacteroidaceae.